Molecule: transfer RNA, 71 nt
Filed under: Neotoma lepida (desert woodrat)
Lineage: Eukaryota; Metazoa; Chordata; Mammalia; Rodentia; Cricetidae
Rfam family: tRNA
About the family: Transfer RNA (tRNA) molecules are approximately 80 nucleotides in length. Their secondary structure includes four short double-helical elements and three loops (D, anti-codon, and T loops). Further hydrogen bonds mediate the characteristic L-shaped molecular structure. tRNAs have two regions of fundamental functional importance: the anti-codon, which is responsible for specific mRNA codon recognition, and the 3' end, to which the tRNAs corresponding amino acid is attached (by aminoacyl-tRNA synthetases). tRNAs cope with the degeneracy of the genetic code in two manners: having more than one tRNA (with a specific anti-codon) for a particular amino acid; and 'wobble' base-pairing, i.e. permitting non-standard base-pairing at the 3rd anti-codon position.
Source: Rfam by way of RNAcentral
GGGGGUGUAGCUCAGUGGUAGAGCACUUAGCUAGCAUGCUGAAGCUGUCGGUUCAAUCCCCAGUACUCCUA